CCCGGGCCCGACCAGAAUCAAGAGGAGGCGGAGGGUCAUGCCUCUGGAAGACAAGAUGAAAAUUCUCGAGAAGCUGGAAGAAGGCGUGAGUAACACCGACGUGGGGCGCCUAUUUGGCGUCAACGAGUCAACCGUACGCACCAUUAAGAAAAACGAGAAGGCCAUCAGGGCCAGCAUGGAGAGUGUUUCGCCCGUCUGCUCCAAGGUGCUAUGCAUUCCCCGGGACGUCAACAUCGAGAAGAUGGAAACCGAGUUAACCUUUUGGGUGGAGGACCAGACCAUAGGGGGGCGGCCUCUGACGCUGAAGGCCAUCUGCAGCCAGGCCAAACGCAUUUACAAGCAGCUGGUGGAAACCACUGGCAACGGCAACCCGGAUAAGUUUCAUGCGAGCAAGGGAUGGUUUGAGAAGUUUAGAAAUCGCUACAGUCUGCGAAAUUCGAGGUUGAUGGGAGAGGAAGAACCGUUAAAUGCCCAGUCAGCGCCCAAGUAUUCCAAACAACUCCAGAGACUGAUCAGGGCCAGGGGCUAUGUGCCUCAACAGGUCUUCAACGCCGAGGAGAUGAGCCUGUUUUGGAAGUGCAUGCCCUCACGUACUUUUAGGGAAAAAGACAAAAAUCCCGAAAGCUUAGAGGAAGCCAAGGACAGGAUUUCCCUCAUUUUUUGUGCCAACGCUGCCGGUGACAAAAUGAUAAAACCCUUGCUGCUUUAUAAAGACCCUAAUCCCACUUGUCUUUUGGAAAAAGAUAAAAACCGCCUUCCUGUGUUCUGGCGAUCACACCCCAAAGUAUCACUAACCACUGCCCUCUUCUUGGAUUGGUUUCAUAAUUGUUUUAUCCAUCAGGCCCGGACUUACUUAAUAGAAAAAAAUCUUGAGUUCAGAGUGUUGCUGAUUCUGGACAGAGGUCCCAAUCACCCAGACUCAUUAUUCUUUGCUCAUCCUAACGUUGAUAUUGUGUUCCUCCCUCUGGAAGGCACUAGCUAUCUUCAGCCCUUGGAUCAGGGUAUAAUUGAAGCAUUCAGGAGGUAUUACACCAAGCAUAUGUUUGACCACUUUGCUGACUGUAUUGAAAAGAACCCUUGUCUUACUUUAAAAGAAACAUGGCAACAGUACAGCAUUGCCGAUGCGUUGGUAGUGAUAAAAGAGGCAAUGGAUGAUAUAAAACCGGCUGCUCUUAAUAAAGCCUGGUGGAAACUUUGGGAUGAUGUUGUGAAUGAUUUUGCAUGUUUCCCUAGAGCUAACGAAGAAGUUGCGAAAAUCAUAGAGUCUGCAAAACGGAUGGACUUUAAAUUCUUUGACAUUGAAGAGAGUGAAAUUAACGAACUGCUCAAGUUUCAAGCUUUGGCCAUUACUGAGAGAGAGUCUGUAUCAGUAAAUACGGAAGAAGACAAGUCCCCAGAACCAGAGGUUAAGAUGAAUCUAAGGAAACUGAAUGCUGUCUUACGUCAGGCUUCAGACCUCAUUGAUGCUGCAAUUGAUAUGGAUCCAUUCCUCGACCGAAGUUUGGCCUUUAAAAAAGACUUCAAUAAAUUGUUAUAUACCUAUAAAGAGGUGCAAAAGAACCUUCAGAAUAAAGCAAAGGAGUUGAAGGAAGAAAAAGACACGAACAAAGAGGUAGUGUGGAUGAAGACGAUGGAUACAGAAUCGGAGUCUGAAGGGGAGUCUGAAUCUGAAUCCGAGUCGAAAUCUGAAUCCGAGUCAAAAUCCGAAUCUGAAUCCCAUAAAGAGGAGAAGGUAGAGAGAAAGAAAGAGGAUAAGAAGGCUCCAGAAGAAGAUCCUGGAUCCUCAGGCAAUGGCACUGAGACUCUCACUAUAUCUGAAGAAUCUGCCAAAGCCAUAAAUGCAGAAUUGGACUUUUGGAAUCUAACCUUGGAACUGAACCUGGAGAGAGUAGACGUGCCUGAACUAAAGGAAGAAGAGAAUCCAGAGGCAUUUCUUUCCAAAUGACAGUUCAUCUCUUGCUAUUCUUCCCCUGUUGCCCCAACAUCUACCUUCAUCAUGACCAUCCUUAUCAUCACCAGCCACACAUCCAUAUCAUUUAGUCAUUCAACAAACAGUUAUUGAGUAUAAGCUCUGUGGGGUCCUGUGCUAAACUUGGGGACAUCAUCUCAGGAAAUCAUCUCAGGAUCUAAGAUCCUGACAGCUGCUUUCCUGUCAUACCCCAUGCUCAGGACCUUUAGCCUGCAGCUCCG
Molecule: RNA transcript, 2190 nt
Organism: Enhydra lutris kenyoni (northern sea otter)
Lineage: Eukaryota; Metazoa; Chordata; Mammalia; Carnivora; Mustelidae
Gene name: protein CutA homolog
Exons: 2
Source: RefSeq, a predicted model, not a curated record